This 1081-nucleotide long non-coding RNA is filed under the name Carica papaya (papaya). RNAcentral's name for it is "long non-coding RNA (CPAP_LNC015108)". The record is from RNAcentral. Lineage: Eukaryota; Viridiplantae; Streptophyta; Magnoliopsida; Brassicales; Caricaceae.
UGGCAGUUUUGGGUAAUUACCAAUAGUAAGUUCGUUAUUCGAUAUUCGACGAACCACCACUUUAGAUCCUUACGUCGGUAUAGGUGAUUUAUUUUCUAAAAUCUGUACGUAUACACAUACAUACGUAUUAUCAUCUAUAUUCACCAAAACUCCACAACGAAAAAGAAAGUCACCAAAUUCGGUUUGGGUGCUGUGAAAAUCAAACAGCCUCAAGUUUCCAAAUUUUUACCACUGGAGAUGAUUUUCUGAUGUUCCCGAGAAGACCCUCACGCUCACCAUGGCAAUGUGAGCACUCUAGCUCCUGAAACUUGCAUAUACACAUUAAUACCCAUUUCCAUCGAGAACCCACACCGAAAGAGAAAAAAAAAACUCAUCUGGUUCGGGUUCAAUGGCCAGAAAACCCAAAAUAGCCUCGGAUUUGAUUUCUAGCUUUCAGAGAAUGGUUUCCUCAGUUCCUCGAGAGAACUCCUCACUUGCCAUGACAGUUGAGCGAUUUGGUUUCACACCUGCAUGCCCGUUAGAGUAAAACACGAAAAGGGAAUCUUGGAGAAAUGAAAAGGGACAAAACUCGCCUAUUUUCUGAACCCCGGCGUCGCAUACAACACGACUUUGGAAUCUGCCAGCAAUGCGGCAUUUCCUGGUCACAGUUCCCUUUCCCUUUCCUUCCUUCAGCCUUCUGCCUCCGUGAUACCUCUUCCUUCCUCUUCGGUCACAUUUCUUUCUCUUUUUCUGGUUUCUUUGCUCGUCUCUCUCUUGUGCGGUGUUCUCUUCUCCCUCUUGGCUCGACCCUCACUCAACUCGGCCUCCUCUCUCACCCACUCACUCAUCUCUCUUCCUUUCUCAUUUUUGGCUCUUAUUUGCUGAGUGAAAAAAUCCUAAUUUGUUCCUUUAAAUACUAAUUUCUUUAGCCAUCUGAUCUUACAAUAUUAGAUUUGGGCUGUUCAACUGGAUAUGAUUUUAAGCUGUCAGAUCUCUCACGGUGCGAUCUUGACUGUCUAUUUCCUUAUUUCUAUUUGCCCCCUUCCACUCUUAUUUAAUUAUGCAUUUUACCCCUUUUUUCUACACAUUUUUAAUUAAGUCC